This 8706-nucleotide long non-coding RNA is filed under the name Lactuca sativa (garden lettuce). RNAcentral describes it as "long non-coding RNA (LSAT_LNC002735)". The record is from RNAcentral. Lineage: Eukaryota; Viridiplantae; Streptophyta; Magnoliopsida; Asterales; Asteraceae.
UAUUAACAGAAAAUCAAUUAUCAUUCAUACACAAGGUUCUUUAGCAAGCUAAAAUAACUAAAUUAACCAACAUAGAAUUAAUCCUACCAAGAAUCAAACCAUAUUACCAAUUUCGUAUCCCCAAAUAGAAGUUUAAAGAAUUUAGCUCAUAACUAAGGUAAAUAACAGCAAACAAAUAAGUUCAAGUUGCUUAAUCAUGUUGACAAAACAAAAGAAACAAAUAGAAUGGUGGAAUUAUGCCUUAAUUACUCCCGGAAUUGGAUUCUAGCUUCCUUGGUCGACUUCUAGGGUUCUUCUGGCUUCUUAUUCGCAGCUGAGCACUUCUGAAUCGCCCCAGAACUUCUCCCUCUCGAUCUGUGGAAUUAUCUUUAAAUAAGCGGUCCGACUCGUCGAGUCAAGUGGUGACUCGUCGAGUCCCUCUCACAUUCCCCGUAUUGCGAUAACUAUCUGGGAUCCCGAGUCAUUAUCCUUCUGAUUCCUCGACCGGACUCGUCGAGUAGCUAUCUGACUCGACGAGUAGAAGCUUUUUUUAGUGUUUUUCCUUCUUCAUUCCACUCUCGAGCUCCUAACCGCUUCUCUUGCUUCCUUUUGCUUCCGAGCUUCAUCUUUGGACUGAAAAACAUAAUUUAACACUUUUAAGUACCUUUUGUCCAUAAUAUGCGAUAAUUUAGCUAAUAUAUGAAUAAAAAACUAUACUAAAUACACACUAAAUAUGCACAUAUCAAAAUACCCCACACUUGUCUUUUGCUUGCCCUCAAGCAAAACUGAAUUUUAACACAUUAGAAUUAUGUAUAACAACUCCAAUCUAACCCAGCCAUUAUGCCAAGACCGCAACGCAUGCAUUUGUGUCUAAAAUUUUUCCUAAAGAACCCCCCAUAUUCCAAAUACUCACAAUCCUCAUAAACAUUCGCCCACUCACCCCGAACUAUGCUCAUUUUAUGCAACCCUCCGAAUCCAUCCGCAGAAAACCUCUUUACCCUCAAGGUAUUUUUAAUUGAGCAACCCAAGCAUACAUAUUCUAGAAAAUUACAAUUUUUCGAUACCACUAUGAAAUUCUUUGAAUUCUUCACUUUCUUGAUAAUUUGAUCUUUGAUAUCUUUGAAUUCACCAACUUGUAUUGACUUUUGGCAUCUUCAACUUUUUUGGAUUUCUUGGAAUUUUGAUCUUUAGAUCUUCACUUCAUUUGCUCCAAAAUUCUUACAACUUUUCUUGUAAUUCUCUCUCUUUUUUUUUUUACAUGUAUACCUCACUUUUUUUUUCACUCAAAACCCUACAUGCUUAAGCAGGGGCGCUCAAUCUCAACCUUUAUUGGCUAAUGAUAAAAAUUUUCCUGGAUACAUUUCAGGUUUAGGCUGCUAAACAUAUUGCAUCCCUCAAGCUGAGCAAGGUCGUGUUUUUGUCUCAUGAUUUCACUAGAAUAAGGAAGCCACAAAUGCACUAGAACGUAUAUAGACUCAACUAAACAUUUGGGUUUUCAUGCAAUUAUUAACACAAUCCUAACAUGGAAUCCUAAUUUUUUUUACCAAAGUUUUCUAAUUAAGUCCUAAAUAAUACUUUUGGUAUGCAAAAUUUUUUAAAAUUGACUAUUAUGUAACCAACCCCCUACCCCACACUUAUGUGAUGCAAUGCCCUCAUUGCAUAUGAUGCAUAAAAACAUAAAAAGAAACUAAAGAGGGAAUUGGAACAAACUCCCCUGGGAUAGCAGUGGAUAGGUUGAUCACUCUCAUUUAAGCUCCAACUUCAAUCAACUUUAGACAUGGUAACAUCUCAUCCAUGCCUUGGGUGUCUCGUCUCGUGUGGGUCGCUCCAAAUACGCGGAAAUCAGUGUAAGAUCUUCAAGAAUGGAUAUGGAAGAAUAAGUGAGCAAGUGGGACAAGUAGCAGCAUCAAAUCAGCAGUCCGUCGGUAUAAAAAUUGAACGACUCGUCGAGUCUUAUGGUGGACUCGUCGAGUACCAGCGCGCCUUCUCAGAAUAUGUAGAAAUACAAGGCGACUCGUCGAGUCAGCUUAGUGCACUCGUCGAGUAGGCCACUGAACGAAAAAAACUUGGUAUUUUGCAACUGUUUUAGCCUCUAAAAACUUCUCUAACUCUUCCCCAUGUUUAGACUCAAUUGCUCAUACCCCUAAGGACCGGACUCGACACUUUGACGUUAAAGUUCCGCUUCCUUGACUCGCUUUCACUCGUGAUAACAUCCAAGCUAUAACUCUAAACCAUCCUAAGCAAGCAAUCCUAAUCCAAUCCUGAAAAAUAACUAAAGCAUACAAUCAUUAAACACAAUAAAAUCUCAAACAAGUCAUACACACCAAAUAAGAAUAAAAACAAAACAAAAAUAAAAAUUGUUUAAUUAAAACACAAAAAUCAAUCUUCGUCCUCCUCAUCAUCAUUGGCGGCUCCACUUCCUCCGGCUCCACUUCGUCUCGCACCAAUCACCUCAUCCCAAGAUGGAAUAAAUGGGUAAUUUCCACCAUCAAUAUGUGGGAUAUUGAAGUGGUCAAAAAGUCGUAUAUGGGAUUGGUUGCUAAAGUUCAGCGCCCUCGCCAUUUGAUCCUGCAUCCGCCUCAUCUCUACAUUGUACCAAUCCAUUGGUACGUCUUCAUUCUCGACCGGAAUCACUGGCGGCUCGUCCUCCACAUCCCGUUCUCUUCUUGAUCUCACCCUCCUUCCCGGUGCUUCGGGACCAACAACGGGGUCAUCAUUUGGAAUGGCAUAAUGGCCACCACCAUAGUCUUCAAUUAUCCGUGCUCUUCGGAAAAGAAUGGGAUUAAACGGGGGCGUCGGGAUCAAUGUCAUGAAGUUCCAGGCACCGCGGUUCAUCAACCCGAAUGAAUUAGCCAAUCGAGUGACAAACAUCCCACCAUUUAUUCUUGAAGUCUUGCGAUCUUUGACCGCACCCUCCGAAAGAUAUGAAGCAAUACACCAAGGGAUGUUGCAAAAGACGCCGGGUGUAAUGAUGCUCCAUAGGAAAAAGACAUCAAGGUUGGAAACCUUGUCAUCAUCCUUUCGUUGGUUGAUGGUGGAUGAAAUGAGGCGGUGUAUUAAGCGGUGUAUUGGGGAUCGAAUGCUCCCUUCUUGCGCCGACUUCGGAAUGUAAAUUUUAUUGCCAAUGAUAUUCCACUAGCCCGCACUUGUAAUUCCUUCGGGAAAUGCCAUAUGGGUUUGUGCUAUGAAGGCCCGAAAGAUUGGUGUCGAGACCAAGGGCUGGUCAUAAACCCCCAAUCGGCAUGCAAGAUCCACCACUGAGCAUUGAUGGAACUCUCCCCCAAGGCAGAAACUGAAGCUCGUCGGGUGAAAAACAUCUACUCCCCCGGUAAAAGAUACCGUGGAAAAGAAUUCUAAACAUAGCUCCAAAUAAACCGGUUCUUGAAUACGGAAGACCCGGCUCCACCCGUCACACACCAUAGUUUCGCCAUUAUAAUGAAACUCCUUUAAAAGAUAAGGAGCGAGUUCCUCCUCAUAACGCACACUUUGCAACCAUUCCCAGUCGAUCCGGUUGGGCACAUAGACCUCCUUCUUCUUAAUAUCAGCCAACUUCUUCUUCCAUUUCCGCAUUGUUGAAGCGGACUCAAUUUGCGGGAAAUUUAACCACGGAAAAUCGCCUUGGUUGCCACUGGAAGUUUGCCCCCUUCUGAACAUGAUUUCUGCAAAACAUAUAAACAAAAACCCAGAAAACACAGAAUAUAAUUAAAAACUGGAUUGUAUCUGUAAAUCGACUGGACUCGUCGAGUCCAUGCCCGACUCGGCGAGUCGCGCAACCUGCACGAGUCAGUCGACGGGUCGCAUGAAAUUGGACCAUAAAACCUGUAAUUUCUGUCAAGGGUUUUGUUCAGGGACUUCCUACUAAGUAAUAAGGCCAAAAUAACCGUUCAAAACAACAAUACUCAUGAAAAAUCAAAACCCUAGAAUUUCAUUACUUUUCAAAAACGGCUUUUUUCAUGCAAUUGCAGGUAUAGAUAGCCUUAUAAUCACAUUCUUUCUAGAAAUCAAGAGGAAAGUUGUGCUUAACCCUUCUCCAAAUUUGACCGCAUCAAGGCAUGCCACAUUGGCGUGUUGGACCUCUAUUCCCUUUACUUCUUCUGCCAAUUGUUCUUCCAAAGAAUCCAAAACAGUAACUGAACCCAGGAUAUGUGAAGAACUAUCAAUAAAUAGAUCAGUUUUGGUCAGGUUUUUAUCCAAAUCGACUGGACUCGUCGAGUCCAUUAUGACGACUCGGCGAGUCGGAUCGGAUUCGAUUAAUCUUGGAGUGUUUUCUGAGUUGGCUCCUUCCAGUAGCUUUUCUAGCUCCUCCAAGUCCUUGUUAGCAUCUUCAACUCCUUCAGAGUAUAGUGUGAACUUACUUGGGUCUUCUUUUAGUAAAAUUUCAAGCUCUUUUUGUAAUACCUCAUCAUCCAAUUGGAUAAAUGAGAUUUCUUCUCUCUUUUCUUCUUCUUGCUUGACUUCUGGAAUAGCUUUAAACAUCACCGACUCAUCCCCCACUCUUAAUGUCAAUGUAGACUCACAUAUGUCAAUUAGGGCACACGCGGUGUUUAAGAAUGAUCUUCCCAAAAUAAUUGGUAUUUCGGGGUCUUCUUCCAUUUCCACCACCACGAAGUCUACUGGAAAAAUAAACUUGUCCACUUUGAUAAGGAGGUUUUCACAAAUGCCUUGUGGAUUAAUUAUCGUUUUGUUUGCCAAAUGGAUUCUCAUAUUUACCGGCCUUGGUGCUGGUAAAUUUAGCUUCUUAAAGAAUGAGUAGGGCAUCAAAUUAAUGCUUGCACCUGAAUCAGCCAAUGCUCGUGUAGAAACUUCAUUACCAAAUUGGCAUGGAAUUACUAUGUUACCCGGAUCACCCUUCUUCUCAGGCAGCUCACUCAUCAAUAUCUCUGCGACUUCAGCCAAAUCCUUCCUAGCAGCAAAAAGGCCUUUAAGCAAGUUAAAGUAUUUAGGAGUUUGGAGCAUUGUUUCCACAAAUGGCAUAUUGACUUGUAAAGCUUUAACAUGCUCCAUGAAGGUUCUAUAGGCUUGAAUUUUUUCUGCAGGCAUGGCUCUGGUUGGGUAUGGCAAAGGAGGGUUGUAUGGCUUUAGGAAACUGACAGUAUCUUCAUUCCCGACUAGACUCGUCGAGUCCAUGAGAGUGACUCGGCGAGUCUGGUCGGGUUUUUCUGGUUCUGGUUUUUCUUCCUUCCCUGCCUUCUUCUUGGAGACUCUUAGUGUUUCUGUAAAUUCUUCUUCACUGCUGGAGGUUAUUACGCUCACGUUCUCCUUUCUUGGAUUGGGCUCGGUGUUGCUCGGAAGUUGACCCGGUCUUCUUUCAUUCACUUGAUGUGCAAGCUGUCCCAGCUGUUUCUCAAUGUUGAGAAUGGAAGCUUGCUGAUUCCUCAACAUGUUUCUGGUUUCUUGCAUUGCUACAUCGUGAUCAUUAUGUCUUUUCUCGGACGCGGUUAUGAACCUUGUGAGUAUAUCUUCUAAAUUUGCCUUCUUUUCCGUCACCGGCUCUUCCUUUUGAUAGAAUCCCCUCUCCCUCUGUUUGUAUUUCUCCUCCUUAGCCUUUUUAUACUCUUCGUAUGGGAGCCAUUCCUUCUUUGGUUUCCUCCAGUCUUCAUCGUAUCUAUCGCCACUGGAAUAAAAUACUUGAGCCUUUUUAUUUCCAUUCUCGUCUCGAUCACAAUCCUUGGUAAGAUGGGGGCCGCCACAAUUUUCGCAUCCUACCCUAAUAGCAUGGAUCGUUUGAUCCAUUUUCGUCAUUCUUCGGUCUAGGCUAUCGAGUUUAGCUAUUACCGCCGCCAUGCCAUCGUUCACCGAGUUUACUGCUCCACGACUCACUUCAUUCCUCGGAUUGUGGUAUUCUCUAGAAUGCUUAGAGAAUUCUUCAAUUAAUUCCUUUAUUUCCGGAGGUGGCUUUCGGGUGAGCGGGCCUUGUGAAUCGAGUAGUUGCCUUGUGGUGACAUUAACUCCAUCAUAAAAGAUGGAGACCUCUUGUUGGCUAUUAAGAUCAUGGUGUGGGCAAUUUCUAAGUAGGCUCUUGUACCUUUCCCAAGCUUCAUAAAGAGAUUCUCCGGGUUGUUGCUCGAAGUUGGCAAUGGCUUUCUUUAGCUUGGCUAUCUUGGAAGGUGGGCAGAAAUGGUCAAUGAACUCUUCUUUCAUCUUGGCCCAUGUGGUGACCGAUCCGGGAGGAAGUGAUUUUAACCAAUCUUUCGCAGCGCCUUUAAACGUGACAGGGAGCAUUCGAAGAAGCUGGGUCUCGCGUGGAACAUUAGGCACGUUGAAGUAGUCGGCCACAUCAUUUACUUCGUCCAAAUGCUUGUAAGCGUCUUCAUGAUCUCUCCCGUAAAAAGGGAUCUCCUUGAGUUGAGCGAGAAUAUGGCCCUUUAGCUCAAACGUAGCGGUUGCGGGAAUUGCGGGUUGCACAAGUCCCGGCCCGGUGUCAUCACGCAUCCUUUUCUUCCACUCCCCCAUGGGGACUUCAUCGAUGUUAGCCAUAGUGAUAGCUAACUCUUCUUCGGAAUCGGUUUCGUGCUCGGAAAUAUGCUCUUCUUCUUCCUCGGUCUCGUACUCGAUAUCUUCGUGAAUUGGUUCUUCAAUUGUUAAUGAGGCACUGGAUGCUCCUGAUUUGCUGCCUUUCUUCUUGCUGAAAACGGAUUUCAAGUUCUUGAGUGGUGAGUUCUUUGAAGUUGCGGUUUCUCCUACGGCUUUUCCCUUGCUUCUCUUUAGUGCGGAUUCCGGGUCUUCCAAAGGUGGUACUAGAGGUGUGUCCGAUCCUCGGGUCAUGAAACAGCUGAAAAAAAACGAAACAAAAGAAACGAAACGCGUAAAAGGAAUAAAAACGAAAUAAAAAAUAAAGACUAAAACAGCGAUGGACUCGCCGAGUCUGCUCGAAUGCACUCGGCGAGUUCAAGGCAAAAACAGAAAAUAAAAAUUUCUUGUUAUUCUAAAAACGAAAUUUUAUUAAAACUAAAUCUACUUACUGAUUUGCUUUGUAAAUAACUUUGUGUAAGAUAAAUCCCACACAAAGGAUCGAUUAAACUAGAUUUUACUAUUAAUUUUAGAACCGUUCCCCGGCAACGGCGCCAAAAACUUGAUGUGUGUAAAACCCACUAGUUUUAAACCUACUUUUAAUUAUCAAAUAACACACAAAAGGCAGUGAACCUAUCAAUUGUGGUAUAGCUAAAUAAGCAGGGUAUCGAACACAGGGAACGGCAAAUUAAACUAAAAACUAAUUUAAUCUAAGUUAAUUAAAAAGCAGGGGUUGUUCUCUAGUUUUACAAGACUAGAAACUUACUAAUUAUUACUAAUUUAAGCUAGAAAAUAAAGACUUUGACUAGAUUCAAUAACGGAGAAGUACUUCUAUUUAGUUCAACUUAAUUGAUCCUAUGGUUGAUUUCAAGGUAAAAGUGCAAUGGAUUAAUUCUUUUGCUAGUUACCGAUUCAAUUGAUUAGUUCCGUAUUCACUUCAUUAAUCCUUAGCAAAUAAAUCAAUUUAAACAAUGGCCAGUUGUCUAUUUCAAUUAAAUUUACUAGAUAUAAUAUUCGGGUUAAGUUAGACUUGCAAUAGCUAAUUAAUUUAUCUUUUAAUUAACUUCUUGUUUAAUGGUCAUCUCACAAGCUUGCACAUAAAUUUACUUGAUUUUCUUAUUAAUCCUAGUUUCAUGUUCAUUACACUAGACAUAUGACAAAAAGUGUUCACUAAGCAUAUGAGAUUGAUAACUAAUAGAUGUUCAUGCUAAUUAAUUAUCUCCCUAUUAACAGAAAAUCAAUUAUCAUUCAUACACAAGGUUCUUUAGCAAGCUAAAAUAACUAAAUUAACCAACAUAGAAUUAAUCCUACCAAGAAUCAAACCAUAUUACCAAUUUCGUAUCCCUAAAUAGAAGUUUAAAGAAUUUAGUUCAUAACUAAGGUAAAUAACAGCAAACAAAUAAGUUCAAGUUGCUUAAUCAUGUUGACAAAACAAAAGAAAUAAGUAGAAUGGUGGAAUUAUGCCUUAAUUACUUCCGGAAUUGGAUUCUAGCUUCCUUGAUCGACUUCUAGGGUUCUUCUGGCUUCUUAUUCGCAGCUAAGCACUUCUGAAUCGUCCCAGAACUCCCUUCUCUCGAUCUGUGGAAUUAUCUUUAAAUAAGCGGUCCGAGUCGUCGAGUCAAGUGGUGACUCGUCGAGUCCCUCUCACAUUCUACGUAUUGCGAUAACUAUCUGGGAUCCCGAGUCAUUAUCCUUCUGAUUCCUCGACCGGACUCGUCGAGUAGAUGUAUGACUCGACGAGUAGAAGCUUCUUUUUCAGUGUUUUCCUUCUUCAUUCCACUCUCAAUCUUCUAACCGCUUCUCUUGCUUCCUUUUACUUCCGAGCUUCAUCUUUGGACUGAAAAACAUAAUUUAACACUUUUAAGUACCUUUUGUCCAUAAUAUGCGAUAAUUUAGCCAAUAUAUGAAUAAAAAACUAUACUAAAUUCACACUAAAUAUGCACAUAUCACAGGCAAUUCAGUGUUCGGCCAGUUUUAGCGUUUGGACAGUGUUAGUAUUUGGAUUUUAGGUUGCAAGUACGGACGGAAUAACAGAUUGCUUAGGUUAUGUUUAAUGGUCUGUAGGGAUAAUUGGUUUUGUGAUCAUGUUUGUAAUGGGAACCUCGAGUUAUCAGAAGUUGAGUAGACUGGUGAGGGAUAUGUGGACCAGUUUCAACAAUAAGGAUUUUGUAUGAGCGGUCUGUCGGGGAGUUAGACCACCUCGAGACUGCAUAUUUC